AUUCCUACGGGAGGCAGCAGUGAGGAAUAUUGCGCAAUGGGGGAACCCUGACGCAGCGACGCCGCGUGAGUGAGGAAGGCCUUCGGGUCGUAAAGCUCUGUCAGCAGGGAAGAAGUGCUACGUAGUUAAUACCUGCGUAGUUUGACGGUACCUGCAGAGGAAGCACCGGCUAACUCCGUGCCAGCAGCCGCGGUAAUACGGAGGGUGCGAGCGUUGUUCGGAAUCACUGGGCGUAAAGGGCGCGCAGGCGGCUUUAUAAGUCAGAUGUGAAAGCCCACGGCUUAACCGUGGAAGUGCAUUUGAAACUGUGAGGCUUGAGUACCAGAGGGGAAAGUGGAAUUCCCGGUGUAGAGGUGAAAUUCGUAGAUAUCGGGAGGAAUACCGGUGGCGAAGGCGACUUUCUGGCUGGAUACUGACGCUGAGGCGCGAAAGCGUGGGGAGCAAACAGGAUUAGAUACCCUGGUAGUCCACGUCGUAAACGAUGAGAACUAGAUGUUGGAGGUGUUGAUCCCUUCGGUGUCGUAGCAAACGCAUUAAGUUCACCGCCUGGGGAGUACGGUCGCAAGAUUAAAACUCAAAGGAAUUGACGGAAU
Molecule: ribosomal RNA, 593 nt
Filed under: uncultured bacterium
Lineage: Bacteria
Description: bacterial SSU rRNA
Rfam family: Bacterial small subunit ribosomal RNA
Source: RNAcentral